Molecule: long non-coding RNA, 2203 nt
Filed under: Pan troglodytes (chimpanzee)
Lineage: Eukaryota; Metazoa; Chordata; Mammalia; Primates; Hominidae
Description: long non-coding RNA NONPTRT014845
Source: RNAcentral
AUUUCCAAGAUUUUGUAAGAAAAUCUUAAAUCAGUGUUUUGAGUUAUUUAAUUUUUAAAUUAAUCUACAAAUUAUGCACAACAAACUAGAGACUCAGUUAGGAUUAGAAAGCUUAAAGUAUGUUUGAUGUAGGAAAUAAGCUUCUCAGAGUUAUACUUGAUUCUGUCUGUAGAUAAGAGACAGUCUACAGUAAUAACUAACCCAGGGAAUUUACUGUAAUUUGAGAGGUAACAUCUCUAUUUUUUUCUUUUUAAAUACAGAAAGUAAUAGUCACCAGCAAGCCACGAUUUCAGGAAAACUGACUAAAAAAAAAAAGUCAAAAUAGAAAAUAUCAGAAAAAUGAAAGAUUUUUGUGUGCCCUCUCCAUAUCCUCAUUGUUUUUGUUGCAUUCGUCCUUGACUCUAAAAUCACUGAAGUAUUCAUGAUUAGUAGUUUGUAAGUAGGAAGUGGUUUUUCUGUAUGUACCAUAUAUCCAGUUCAUUUCAAUUUUCAAACUAAAAUCCAUAUGUAUUUGCUGAGAAAGUUAUUUGAAAUCUUAUAUUCUGACAAAUUCUGUACAUUACAUCCAUUUGAAGUUUUGCAUCAUCUUAACACUUUUGCUUUGCAUUUCAAUUGUACAAAGUGUUUCCAAAAAAAUGGUUAUAGAUUCGACUGAGCUAUUACUAACUUCUCCAUUUGAUUUUUUAUGGAUGUGAAAAAUGCUGCUACUUGUCUAUGUUAUUAUGUGGUAUUUGUUCUCUUGGAUUGAAAUUUAUGCCCACAGAUUUUUCUUUUCAUUUGAAAAUGAAUGUGAAGAUACUGUUUACAGCUUUUGUUAAUUGCAGUUUUCAUCACUCUGAUCAAUUUCUUGUAAAGUGCUAUGGGAAUUAUUUUUCCUGUGAAUAUUAAUGAUUUUACUACUGCCUCCAAAGUUUUAAAAAAGGUUCUGUAGACAGAAAACAGUUGUUGCAACCAAAAACAACCAAAAAAAGAAAAGGAAAACUGGCUUACCUUUCUCAGAUGAAUUAAAUGAUUUUAAUAACUUCCCAAUUACCAGGGUUAUAACGUUGCUUUCUUCAGUUAUUAAUACAGUCAAAUUAAUUUUAACAAUAUAAGCACAAUUCAUUUACAAAUUCAGUACAGUAGUCCAGGGCUACAUGUAAGUGGUCUCUAUUUUAUUCUUUACAUCAGAAAAAUCAUGAAUGUCAGUUUUGCCAGUAUUUUACAAUGAGGCUUAUCGUUUAAAAUUUUAUAGUGUAUGACAUGUAAAUAAACCAGUAUUUAUUGUAGGUUGUUUGAUUCAGGCAUUUCAAAUGGAUAUAGGUUAAUGGCAAUGGAAUCCUAUUUAUUUGGUAGUUGGUUUUGUUUUUGUUUAUUUACUUUUGCUAUUUGUUUUGUAUUGUCUAAACUUUGCUUCAACUGAAGACAGUGUAAGGAGUUGAAAAUACAAUCAACAUAGCAAUGGAAAGCAAUGCAAAGAGGGUAAAUCUUGUUUUAAUUUUUUUAACUUUUUUUUUUUUGUAAAUAAAUAGUACUGUGAUACUUUAGGUGUGACCUUCUAUUCCACAUGAUAGUUAGAACCAGAAAAACACUUUUGCUUUCUAGUUGUACUAUUGGUUCAUUGUAAAUGCAUUACCAAAAGACAAUAUGAAAAAGAGCAAGAUUAAGUUUUUCUAACAUUGUCCACUUCAGGGGCAAGCAUGCUUGGUAUAGAGCUCUAGCUUGUGUAUACCUUAAACUGUAACUUGCAGGUGUUUUUCAGUUGCUGCACUUUUUAUUUAAUCUUGCUCAGUCCCAGUAACUAUCUCAAAGGUAAUUGCUGGAAUAUGCAUUUUGAAAUACGGUUUAAAAAAAAUCUGUGUAUUGUUUCAUCUAAAAAGAAAAGCACUAUUGCAAACACUAAAAACGUGUUAAACUUUGUAGUUAUUUUGCAUUCCUGUACUUUACAAACUGUCAUCACAGCAAAAAGUUUAAAAUUAGGUAAUGAAAUAUUUUUGUAAAUAAAUACCGUUAAGCUGGUAUUUUAAAAAAUGUAUUAUAAAUUAAUGUUUCUGGAAAAUGUUCAUAUAUAUGUAUAUGAAUGUCUCUUUAUGCUGAAGGGCUCUGAUUGGGCAAAAUAAAAUACUCUAAUCUCUCCUGAAACUAAACAAGCCCUUUUUCCUGGAAAAUUUGUUCUAAUUUUUUUCUGAAUUAUGGAAUUAAUCUAUUAAUAACCUAAGAAAAU